UGGGGAAUUUUGGACAAUUGGGCGAAAGCCUGAUCCAGCAAUGCCGCGUGUGUGAAGAAGGCCUUCGGGUUGUAAAGCACUUUUGUCCGGAAAGAAAUCCUUGGCUCUAAUACAGUCGGGGGAUGACGGUACCGGAAGAAUAAGCACCGGCUAACUACGUGCCAGCAGCCGCGGUAAUACGUAGGGUGCAAGCGUUAAUCGGAAUUACUGGGCGUAAAGCGUGCGCAGGCGGUUUGCUAAGACCGAUGUGAAAUCCCCGGGCUCAACCUGGGAACUGCAUUGGUGACUGGCAGGCUAGAGUAUGGCAGAGGGGGGUAGAAUUCCACGUGUAGCAGUGAAAUGCGUAGAGAUGUGGAGGAAUACCGAUGGCGAAGGCAGCCCCCUGGGCCAAGUACUGACGCUCAUGCACGAAAGCGUGGGGAGCAAACNGGAUUAAUACCCUGGUAGUCCACGCCCUAAAGAUGUCAACUAGUUGUUGGGGAUUCAUUUUCCUAGUAACGUAGCUAACGCGUGAAGUUGACCGCCUGGGGA
This 531-nucleotide ribosomal RNA is filed under the name uncultured bacterium. RNAcentral describes it as "partial 16S ribosomal RNA". It matches the Rfam family "Bacterial small subunit ribosomal RNA", at positions 355 to 879 of the family's 1533-position model. The record is from RNAcentral.